This 746-nucleotide long non-coding RNA is filed under the name Homo sapiens (human). Its description in RNAcentral is "long intergenic non-protein coding RNA 623". The record is from RNAcentral. Lineage: Eukaryota; Metazoa; Chordata; Mammalia; Primates; Hominidae.
AAAUAGCGGCUGCUUCUUUUCCAAGGAUUUAUUUAAUGGGGAUGUGUUCAAGGCAAGACCGAAUUCAGAAGGAUAUCGACGUCGUGAUCCAGAAGUCCAGAGCUGAGGACUGCCUGUUUGCAGGAAUCGAACUCGAGCUGCAGGCGGUGAAAGCGCCGAAUCCUAGCCACUAGACCACCAGGGAAACAACAGCAAGCACUUUUCAUUCCUCUUGCCUUCCAAAGGUUUCUCCAAAAGGUGAACCUGUCUGCAAUGCUCACGAAGCCCUCCAGAUGCACAAGUCAAAACUGAUCUAGAGAUUCUGAAGUACGCUGUGCUCCUUGAGAAGUGCGGAGCCACUGGAACCACAAGCAGCUUCAGACAGGAACCAAUGAGGCCAUCAAAACCCUCAACAGAGGCAUCUGUGAGUUCAUUGUGGUGGCUGCAGACACCACGCUGCAAGAGAGCAUUCUGCACUCCCACUGCUGUGUGAAGAGAAGAAUGUGCUGGGCCUGCCUGGAAUGUUUGCGCACUCCAGGCGGGCCCUGGGGCGGGCCUGUGGGGUCUCCAGUCCUGUCAUCACCUGUUCUGUCACCAUCAAAGAAGGCUCACAGCUGAUCCAGUCCAUUCAGCAGUCCGUUGAAAGGCUCCUAGUCUAAACCUGUGGCGUCUAAACCCGUGGCCUCUGCUGCACAAUCUCUGCUGACUCCUCCCCCUGAGGUUAUUCUCAGCUACUUUCUAUUGCUAUAAAAUAUUAUAGUACUAAA